CACCUGCAAUUCUGUUACUUUGCUUAGGCCGGAAAUUACAUUUGAAUGUACAAAGUCCAGAAACUUUGUAGUUCAAGGUAAAAUUGGAGUAUUUUUGCACCCAGAUCAAGCACAAAGCCAUUUUGCUUGGAUCAUGAACCAGGCCAAUGGACUGACUGAGAGACAUUGUUUGUUGGAAGUCUGGCGUGUGUAGAUCUACUUCUGAACAAAAUUUAUUUUGCACAGUUUUGAAGUCUGGGACGUCCAAAAUCAAGACACAAGCAGGUCUGGUGUCUGGUGAGAGUUGCUUGUUCUGCUUCCAAGAUGGUGCCGUGGUACUGUAUUCUCAGGAGGGCACAGAUGCUGUUUUCUCACAUGGCAGAAGAAAUGGAAGGGACCAGUUCAUCCAACAUCCCUUAGAGAUGCCAGCAUCAGCUGUCUGCUUACCCAUCCUGCAGUGGAGGUUUGAAUCCCGGCUUCCAGUCUCUUUCUCUGACUCAGAGACAUCAUGGCCAGCUGAACACCGUGCCCUACUCUGAGAUCCCAGAGAGGAGAGGGCAUCAUGCCUCACAGGGCCCGUGGGAAAGGAAGAGUUAUCUGGGACACGCAUGCUCAACCAGCUGGUGGGAAGCAAGAAAAGAAGAGAGAGAGCAAGAGACCAAAGAGUCAAAGCUUUCAUUGGGUUCCAAAGCAUUACCCAAGCAGGUUUCCCGAAGAGAGCUCUAAACAGUGAGUUUAAAGCAAGCAGGUACAAGUUCCAGAAGAUCACACUGUGACUGACAGGAGGUCACUAUGCCAUAUCUACGCAGUCCAUGUGGGGUACAAGGGUCUGAGGAGUGAGUCACAUAGGCUGUUUCUAGCUGUCCUAUAGGAAGG
Molecule: long non-coding RNA, 855 nt
Organism: Homo sapiens (human)
Lineage: Eukaryota; Metazoa; Chordata; Mammalia; Primates; Hominidae
Exons: 4
Source: RefSeq, a predicted model, not a curated record